AACUAACAAGGAUUCCCCUAGUAGCGGCGAGCGAAGCGGGAAGAGCUCAAAUUUGUAAUCUGGCACCUUCGGUGUCCGAGUUGUAAUCUCUAGAAGUGUUUUCCGCGUUGGACCGCACACAAGUCUGUUGGAAUACAGCGGCAUAGUGGUGAUACCCCAUUACACGGUGCGGACGCCCAGCGCUUUGUGAUACACUUUCGACGAGUCGAGUUGUUUGGGAAUGCAGCUCAAAUUGGGUGGUAAAUUCCAUCUAAAGCUAAAUAUUGGCGAGAGACCGAUAGCGAACAAGUACCGUGAGGGAAAGAUGAAAAGCACUUUGGAAAGAGAGUUAAAAGUACGUGAAAUUGUUGGAAGGGAAACGCUUGAAGUCAGACUUGCUUGCCGGGGCUUGCUCGGUUUGCAGGCCAGCAUCAGUUUUCCGGGGCGGAUAAUGGCAGUUAGAAGGUAGCAGUCUCGGCUGUGUUAUAGCUUUCUGCUGGAUACGUCCUGGGGGACUGAGGAACGCAGCGUGCCGUAUGGCGAGGGCUUCGGCCCUUUCACGCUUAGGAUGCUGGUGGAAUGGCUUUAAACGACCCGUCUUGAAACACGGACCAAGGAGUCUAACAUGCUUGCGAGUAUUUGGGUGUCAAACCCGGGAUGCGUAAUGAAAGUGAAUGGAGGUGGGAAGCGCAAGCUGCACCAUCGACCGAUCUGGAUUUUCUAAGAUGGAUUUGAGUAAGAGC
Molecule: ribosomal RNA, 722 nt
Filed under: Rhodotorula toruloides
Lineage: Eukaryota; Fungi; Basidiomycota; Microbotryomycetes; Sporidiobolales; Sporidiobolaceae
Description: eukaryotic LSU rRNA
Rfam family: Eukaryotic large subunit ribosomal RNA
Source: RNAcentral